Molecule: long non-coding RNA, 291 nt
Organism: Dermacentor silvarum
Lineage: Eukaryota; Metazoa; Arthropoda; Arachnida; Ixodida; Ixodidae
Exons: 2
Source: RefSeq, a predicted model, not a curated record
ACCAGCAGGAUUUUACAAAGUGAACUCAUCACAGCUUGAGCAACUCCAUGCCACAAGCAGUUGCUCCUCGAGCCACCGUGCAAAGGUUCCUUGGGGCACAAGUCCAACUCAGCGCCACAACCUUUCUUCUGCAGUUUUUCUACCUACUUAGCUAACCAGCAGCAAGUUUAUCCUUGCAAGGCAUGUGGGAACAGCUUUCACCAGGAAAUGUGCAAGACGAGUGGUCGAAGAAAAUAAAAUUGCUUCUGUGAUCUAAAGUACUUGACGAAUAAAAUUUUGCACUUAUUUGUA